GAUGAACGCUGGCGGCGUGCCUAAUACAUGCAGGUCGAGCGAACAGACGAGGAGCUUGCUCCUCUGACGUUAGCGGCGGACGGGUGAGUAACACGUGGAUAACCUACCUAUAAGACUGGGAUAACUUCGGGAAACCGGAGCUAAUACCGGAUAAUAUAUUGAACCGCAUGGUUCAAUAGUGAAAGACGGUUUUGCUGUCACUUAUAGAUGGAUCCGCGCCGCAUUAGCUAGUUGGUAAGGUAACGGCUUACCAAGGCAACGAUGCGUAGCCGACCUGAGAGGGCGAUCGGCCACACUGGAACUGAGACACGGUCCAGACUCCUACGGGAGGCAGCAGUAGGGAAUCUUCCGCAAUGGGCGAAAGCCUGACGGAGCAACGUCGCGUGAGUGAUGAAGGUCUUCGGAUCGUAAAACUCUGUUAUUAGGGAAGAACAAAUGUGUAAGUAACUAUGCACGUCUUGACGGUACCUAAUCAGAAAGCCACGGCUAACUACGUG
This 497-nucleotide ribosomal RNA is filed under the name uncultured bacterium. Its description in RNAcentral is "partial 16S ribosomal RNA". It matches the Rfam family "Bacterial small subunit ribosomal RNA", at positions 28 to 507 of the family's 1533-position model. The record is from RNAcentral.